Molecule: long non-coding RNA, 1133 nt
Filed under: Monodelphis domestica (gray short-tailed opossum)
Lineage: Eukaryota; Metazoa; Chordata; Mammalia; Didelphimorphia; Didelphidae
Description: lncRNA (ENSMODG00000049285.1)
Source: RNAcentral
CCGGCAAAGGGGUUGCUCCGAAGAGCUUACCUUGAAAGCAACCUGGGCCAGUCACCAGGCAUUCAACACAGAUUGUGGAGGAGGAGGUUUUUUGCUUCAGAGCACAUUCGGUCCAAACCAGCUGAACCUAAUCCCAUCAGGAGCCCUCAGAGCCCAGGGAGGCCACCACCCCUCCCCCCUUAGAGAGCAGGGUCUUAUGAAAGAACCAGCUGAACCUAAUCCCAUCAGGAGCCCUCAGAGCCCAGAGAGGCCAUGCAUCUCCCCCCUUAGAGAGCAGGGUCUUAUGAAAAAACAGGAACCUAGAGGCAGAGUCAAGAUGGCAGCCUAGAAGGAGCAUAGACCUGGCGGCCUGGCCAGAGCUUUGGAGAUCCUCCAUAUUUGCUCCAGCUGUCCAGGAAGUUUAAAACUCAGAGUAAACCCAGCCCAACUAAGCUGAACUUAAUCCCAUCAAAAGUCUCCAGAAUGCAGGGAAGCCCAGGCUCCCCACCCAUCCUCAUUGAUUGCUGGACUUUAAGCCAAUCAAAAGCCUCCAGAGGACAGGAAAGCUCAAACCCCCAACAACCCUCCCCCAGAGACUACACCAAGAGAUCUUCUGUUAAAGCUCCAAGAAUGGAGACUGAUAGAAGCCCCCUCAAAACAAAAAAAAAAUGAGAGGAACAAGAGCACAGACAAAUACAGGGACUAAAGAAGGGGUGAGUUUGAGCAAACAAGAGGAAAAGAAGAAAGAAACUACAAUAGACAGCUUCUACUCAGCAAAAUGAACAGAGGGAGGAGAUCAGCAAAUGAUAAAUCAGAAAUCCCAGCAAAUUGGAUAGAGGCUGUGGAAGAACUCAAAACACAACUAAGAGAGGCUGAAGACAAUUGGGGAAAGAACUUAAAAAUUAAGAUAAGUCAUCUGGAAACAGAGGCACUUGAACUAAAACGAGAUAAUAGUGUCUUGAAAGCCAAAAUCAACCAGCUGGAAAAUGAGGCAAAGGAGAUGAAAGACAAGGUAAAGAGGAUGAAAGAUGAUCUUCAAAGAAAAUCAGACCAGAAGGAAAAGGAGGCAAAGGAGAUGAAAGAUGAGAUGAAGAAGAUGAAAGAUGAGAAAAAGGAGAUGAAAGAGAUAAUAAGGAAAAAGACCUAUAUAAGAA